AUACGGAGGGGGCUAGCGUUGUUCGGAUUUACUGGGCGUAAAGCGCACGUAGGCGGUUUAUCAAGUUAGGCGUGAAAGCCCCGGGCUCAACCCGGGAACUGCGCUUAUUACUGAUAGACUAGAGUCCGGGAGAGGGUAGCGGAAUUCCCAGUGUAGAGGUGAAAUUCGUAGAUAUUGGGAAGAACACCAGUUGCGAAGGCGGCUACCUGGACCGGUACUGACGCUGAGGUGCGAAAGCGUGGGGAGCAAACAGGAUUAGAAACCCCAGUAGUCC
This 274-nucleotide ribosomal RNA is filed under the name uncultured bacterium. Its description in RNAcentral is "partial 16S ribosomal RNA". It matches the Rfam family "Bacterial small subunit ribosomal RNA", at positions 523 to 796 of the family's 1533-position model. The record is from RNAcentral.